CCUACGGGGCGCUGCAGUGGGGAAUAUUGGACAAUGGGCGAAAGCCUGAUCCAGCCAUGCCGCGUGUGUGAAGAAGGCCUUCGGGUUGUAAAGCACUUUCAGUGGGGAAGAAAGCCUUGGGGCUAAUACCCUCGAGGAAGGACAUCACCCACAGAAGAAGCACCGGCUAACUCCGUGCCAGCAGCCGCGGUAAUACGGAGGGUGCGAGCGUUAAUCGGAAUUACUGGGCGUAAAGCGCGCGUAGGCGGUCUGAUAAGCCGGUUGUGAAAGCCCCGGGCCCAACCUGGGAACGGCAUCCGGAACUGUCAGGCUAGAGUGCAGGAGAGGAAGGUAGAAUUCCCGGUGUAGCGGUGAAAUGCGUAGAGAUCGGGAGGAAUACCAGUGGCGAAGGCGGCCUUCUGGACUGACACUGACGCUGAGGUGCGAAAGCGUGGGUAGCAAACAGGAUUAGAUACCCCAGUAGUC
This 465-nucleotide ribosomal RNA is filed under the name Vreelandella stevensii. Its description in RNAcentral is "partial 16S ribosomal RNA". It matches the Rfam family "Bacterial small subunit ribosomal RNA", at positions 338 to 795 of the family's 1533-position model. The record is from RNAcentral. Lineage: Bacteria; Pseudomonadati; Pseudomonadota; Gammaproteobacteria; Oceanospirillales; Halomonadaceae.